UACGGAGGGGGCAAGCGUUGUUCGGAGUUACUGGGCGUAAAGGGCACGCAGGCGGUCUUGCCAGUCAGGGGUGAAAGCCCGGGGCUCAACCCCGGAACUGCCUCUGAUACUGCAGGACUAGAGACUAGGAGAGGGUGGUGGAAUUCCCAGUGUAGAGGUGAAAUUCGUAGAUAUUGGGAGGAACACCAGAGGCGAAGGCGGCCACCUGGACUAGAUCUGACGCUCAGGUGCGAAAGCGUGGGGAGCAAACAGG
RNAcentral lists this ribosomal RNA (253 nucleotides) under uncultured microorganism. RNAcentral's name for it is "partial 16S ribosomal RNA". It matches the Rfam family "Bacterial small subunit ribosomal RNA", at positions 524 to 776 of the family's 1533-position model. The record is from RNAcentral.